CGGUGACCCCUUCCCCAUCGUUGGAAAAACACAAACCCUAAACUGAAGGGAGCACCUACAGCCGCCACCCCCUUCCUCUUCUCCUCCCAGCCGACAUCACCAAAGAACCACCGGAGCAGCCACCUAGUUCCACCGCCGGCAAGACGAAGAGACUCAAGGGAUUAGGAACUCGUUCGGGGGUAGGUUGCUAUUUGCGUUUGGGUGGCUGCCUCAGCCCACGUCCGUCGCUAUGGCGCUGAGGAGCAGCAGAGUUUCCGUUUAGUACCGCCACCUCCAUCGUUUCCCCGUAGCGUCGACUAUUGCGUUUCCAUCAAUAGAAUCCGAGCAAAGGACCCUUUUCUGUCGUCGUUCGAUGCUACCGCUGUUGCGACGCUACCGUCGAUGGUGGACUCUCAUCGUCACUUGCCGCUGCUAGUCGCUGAUGCUGUCGUUCUAGUGGCCGUCAUGUUCCAGCCACGACUUGUCGCCGUCGCCUAUGCAGCCCUCAUGUCACUCCAGUUGUUGCUUAGCGUCCCAAGGGACGGCCAUGCUUGUAUUUCACAAGGUUGCGAGUGCGUUGUUGCUUCAAGUUCAAGUGAAGUGUGGUCGUUUGGUCUAGCCGGAAAUCAAGAGCGAGCACCGCCAACACCUGCCGCCGCCGGCCACCAUAAGGUGGUUGUGUGUGUUUGUUUUGUUUUAGGUGUGUGUGUGUGUGUGUGAUUGUAUUUCUAUUAGCUAUUCGUGUUUGGGUAUUUUGGUUAGCCGGAGUUCAUGGAAGAGUCACUGCCGCCACGAGCCACCGCCGGCCACCAUGGUGUGGCUGUGUGUGUGUAUGUUAGUUAGGUAGUGGUGUGUGUUCAUUUUGAUUAAAGCAUUGUAACUGUAAUUGCCAAAAGAAUAAUGAAAAGAAAUGGAAAACCACCACCGUAAGGUGGUGGCCACCGUCGUGAGCCGCCAUUGACCACCACUACCUGAGGUGGUCAUGGGUGGUGCCCCUCAAGCAAACCCUAAUGGGCCUAGAAAGACCCUAAUGGGCUUAAAGAUUUAUUUUGGGCCUAUUGGGCCAUGUUUGAGUGGAAACCCUAAUUAGGGUUUAGAAAACCCUAAUUAUGAGAAAUUGGGCCUUAGACUUAAUGGACCCAUCAUUGGGCAAUUGGGAUUGGAGUGUGUAUUAAGCCCAAGUCACUCCAUAUCACAUAUCUAGUAGAGUAGAGGACUUAAUGGAUUAAGUCCUUAAUGGGUUAAGUAAGAAACACUUAACCCUAGUUAUCAUUUUAUGUGAAACCCUAAUUUCACUUGGGCUUUGUGUUGGUCCAUCCAAAAACAAGCAAAUGGACUAGAAUAAUUUAUUGGGCCUUAGGGUAAGGUCCAUAUGAAGGAUUGGGCCCAAUUUGGAAAAUUGGGCCAUAGAUGGGCUGUAGUUUGGGCUUAGAUGGUUGUGUGAUAUUGGGCUCUUAAAAUGAGACAUGUUGGACUGGACUGAUCAAUUGGGCCUUGAGGGAAGUCCAUGUAGAGGCUUGGGCCUAAUUUGGAAAAUUGGGCCAUAUGUUGGGCUUUGAUCCCUAGCUGACUUUGGGCCUAUGGAUUUGGGCCUUGGGCUUGGGUAAGCCAAGCUAGGGGUAAUAAAGUAAUUAUCCAAGUAUGUAUUUAUAGUAUGUGUUAGAAAUCAAUUAUUAAUUGGGUGUCAUUUUGGUGUUGACAAUUCGGGAAUCUGUCAUCCAACAGCUAGGGUUGAGUCUGCGGGACUUUAGCAGUAUGAGAUUAUGUCUACGGGACUUCAGCAGUGUGAGGUGAAUUUCCUUCUAGUAGGAACGGGUCUACGGCCACAAUGUCGGCCCGUUUAGUUAGCAGUCAGUUCCAGACUUCGGUCCGAUGCAGUAGUUUAGGGUGCUUGACGUCUUUGUGAUUCAAGCAUGUCUAUGUGUUAUGAGUUCCGGACUUCAGUCUGAUGCAGUAUGCAGUAUAUGUGUUUAUGCUAGUUGAUAUGAGUUUAUGCUAUGCUAUGUUCAUUUAGUUCCGGACUUCGGUCCGAUGCAGGGGACAAGAUGACAGUCAGUUCCGGACUUCGGUCCGAUGCAGUUAGUUCCGGACUACGGUCCGAUGUAGGGGACAAGGUCCCAUUCAGUUCCAGACUCCGGUCCGAUGCAGUUUCCGUACUUUGUUCCGAUGCAGAGGGCAAGGCCCUGGUUAGUUUCCGGACUUCAGUUCAAUGCGGUUCCGGACUUCGGUCCGAUGAAGUGGGCAAGGCCCAAUAUGUGUUUAUAUGUUAUUGUAUGGUAUGUGGUAGUUUGGGGAAGGUCACUAAGCUUCGUGCUUAUGGUUUUUAGUUUUGGUUUCAGGUACUCAGUUUUCAAAAGAGGAGCUCGAGAAGAUUGCAGUGCACACACCAUUUGUUCAGCCUGGGAUGUUUAUACUCUGAUAUAUUUGACAGUUGUUAAGAUAUUUUGAGAUACAUAGCUUAUGAUUUUUACAUGAGGUUUAUCGACUAUGGUUUUUAUUGUUAAAUUAAACAAAAUUUUCAGAUUGUAUUUUCUAGAUGUUUCUAGUUGUUAUCAGAGCCUUGGUUUGAGGGAUUCAGGCACACUUUCGGGUGUGUCUGAACUCAAACUAAGGAAGUGGUAUAAAGUUUUCAAGAGAAAAACCAUGUUUAGAAAAGGAUUUUGAGAAAAGAAAACAAUUUUAGAAAAAGUAUAAAGAAAAGAGUUUUAGAAAAAGCGAAAAGAAUUUUGAAAAGAGAAAAGCGUGUGGUGCAUUCAAUCAGCCGAGCUCAAGUAAGUACUCCCAAAGUACCCAUACAAGUUUAUGUUAUGAUUAUCAGUUUCAGUUUCAGUAGAACAACAUGUUAGGAUAGGACUAAGGAUCUAGGAGGAUGCCUUAUGUGCCUGCUAUAUUUGUUUCAUCUUUAUGAGAAUUGCAUGCUAGUAUUGAGUAGACAUUAGUAGGAUAGCCUAUUUAGGUUAUGCCUGAUAGUAUGAGCUUAGCAUUGUAUGCUAGUAUAGUUUCUUGUUAUGAGAAUAGAUUUGCUUGAGUAGUUUCGUGUGUCUGAAUGUUUCUUGCUUUGUGCUUUGUAGGAUUCUAAGUGAUGAGAGUUAGCCAUUAGGUGAAUACGUCACGCCACAUGUGAUCAGGGUUAAAUAAUCUCAGAGUGUUGGAUUUGGCCCUAUUGCGCAGCUCUUGUUUGAGUCUAACCAUUGUGGGGACGAGUCUUUUACUCGAAGGAUUAUCCGAGCCUCGUCACAUGUGAUGGUAUUCAGGUGAUGGCUAAUUGGCAUUACAAGGAGGCCUUCAGCAGCUGAGGACUGGUUUGGGUCGGAGAUUUCCCUAGGGUAAGCCUAGGAUGAGAGUAACAGAGAGCAGUAGCAGUAAAAGGGACGUGGUGGAGUCUAGGCAGUUCUUGAGGAAAGUACGGAUAGAUGUGGAAGGUAGUAUGGGCCCGUACUACUAAAAGCAUAGGAUCCGUACUCAAAUCAACGAAGGCUAAGAUAAGACCAGGGAAAUUGUAGUGUGUGAGAUCCCUCGAGUUUGGAUGAGUAUUGUGAUGUUAGUGAUGGCAUGUUGCCGAGUAUAGUGGUGCUACGUGGUAGACCAGAUGAUAGUUCUGGUGUUGAAGAGGGAUCGGGAUCGGACUCUAGAGUCGGGCAGAUUAAUGAUCAGAUGAGGGAGUUCAUUCUAUCUAAGAGUUAUGCGAAGUAUCAUUGACCAGACUCAUGUGAUCCUCAGUGUGAUCAAGGAGGGAAUUAUAGAGAUUUGUGAUGAGAGGCCGAGUGCAUUCUGCACUAAGAUAACAGUCAUGAUAGUGAACCGUAUGUUGAUGUUUCGGGAAUUCAGAGUUUGUGACGCUUCAGAUUGACAUGGGGGUUAGGGAUCCCAUUGUUAGCAGCAGAUGGUUGGCAGAUGUUGCCAACACUUUUCAUACCAGACGUUGUCUCGAAAGGAGACAAGAUCUGACUUAAUUCCUAUCUCCUGAGGGAUAGAGCACGAGAUUGAUAGGAAGAGGCCGGUAGUGAAUUGUGUGAUGAUGCGGUUAAUGCUAUGUCAUGUGAUGGCUUUUAGACCAGAUUCUGGGCAGAGCGUGCCCAGGCGAUUGAGGCGCAUCAGUUGGCGCAAGAGUUGUUAGAUCUCCACUAGACGACUGAGACUAUGGCAGAGGUCACUGACAAGUCUCGGGAAAGAGCUUAUAUGGUACCACAGUAUGUAGCAGAUGAGGAAAUGAAGAAGGUAGGUUAUCAAAACAUACUGUAGAAUGAUACUAGGGAGAUCAUUAGUAUCUCGGGGUGUAAGACCCUGAAUGAUAUGACAUCUUGAGUUUGAGAACGAGAUAUGGACAUGGAACACAUUGGUAAGAGGGAACCAGAUCGGUUUCUUAUAGUGAGGGGUCUUGGGAGGAGACCGUAGAUUUCAGAUUAGCUUUCGAGAGACCAGCAGGACCAAAUUCGGUACAGCACAUGCGGGAAACUACACGAUGGAGUCUUUCGUUUCAAGGGUUUGAGUAAGUGUAGCCCUGAGUUAUCCUCGGUUUGUGUCUAAAUUAUAUUUUCAAGAGAUGUCAUAUGCCAAUUGCAUACCGAGAAGCAUUAGCGAAUAGUGAUAGAGCAUUUCACAAAUUGCGGAAUUGGGAGAGUAGAGCGUCAUCUUGGUUUAUUCCAAAACUGAGGAGCAUCACGAGAAGCACCUGAGGGAGGUGCUAGAGACUUUGAGGAGGGAGAGAAUUUUCUCAAGGUUCUUUAAUUGUGAGUUCUAGUUGCGCGGGGUGCAAUUUCUUGGACACCUUGUCAAUCAGAAGGAUAUCCUAGUCGAUCUGGCCAAUAUAGAGGCCGUGAUGCAGUAGGAGAUUCCGAGGUCUCCAAUUGAGAUUCGGAGCUUCCUAGGUCUAGCGGGUUAUUACUGGAGAUUUAUUCGGUUUUUUUUUUAGAAGUUGGGUGAUCUUUUGGAUUAGCUGGUGUUGAAACCACUAGAAAGGGUAAGCGUGGUUCUAGCAGAUUAGUCAUGGGUGGUAAGAAGGAUCGGGAAUCCUUUCCAGACAGUGAACUAUAAGGAUCUAGUUGAAUCGAAGUGGGGGAGGAACCCUCAUAUAGUCAGGAACGGAAGAAAGUACGAAGUUGGGAUGAGUUCGCAACUUUGUUGAGCAGGAUAGUAGUCCAAGUGGCUGAUCGGAUUGAGAAACGCGUGACUUGAGAGUUGGGAAACUCCCCAGUAUUGAGUGUAUGUAAUAGUGAUCAUUAAGUGAUUGGUUUGGGAAACCAGGUUGAAGAUUUUCUCGGCAGGAUGUGAUAUUAGUUAGGAUGUAAGCCUACGGGAAAGCUGUAGCAUUCACCAGCAGGUAGACAGUACGGGAAGUGUAGUGAGGCUACGAGAUGUCCAUAGUAAUCACGUUAGACGAUAGCUGGUUCGGAAAAAAAAAACCAGGUUGGAGGAUCGCCGACAGGAUUCGAGUAAGUCAAGAUGCAGAUUUAGUGAAGGUCCGGCAUGGGAUGCUUUCAGAUUAGUAGGCGGUGUAGAGUUAGAAUGGAGAGUGUAGCAAGACUGCAGAAUAGUUGCAGCAUUCCCAACAGCGAGUUAGUGAGGGAAGUGAUGUAAGUCUGCAGGUGUAGCCGUAGCAUUCACUAGCAGUCAGAUAGUAUCAGAGUGUUGUAAGUCUGCGGGUGUAGCCGUAGCGUUCACUAGCAGCCACACAGUGAUAAUGUGUUGUAAGCCUGUGGGUGUAGCCGUAGCAUUCACUAGGUUAUUAGAUAGCGUGAGUGCGUCGUUAGUACACAGGAAGGACAAUAGUACCCACCCGUUCGGGUAUAGAAGUGAGGAUAUGGAAAUCCACAUAUUGGAUUUCGGAGUUUCCCAUACGGAUUAGACCUGGUUAAGCCAGUGAUAAGACUGUAGAAGCGCCACUACAGAGAAGAGAGCAGAGAAGCAGUGGACUGCUUGAGGUCAUUUAUGACAUAAGGCUACCAAUGGUCAUGUAGCAAUCACUUUUAGCCUUGGUUUUGGUGACGUCAGGAUUCGACGUAUGGACUCGAUCAGUUAGAUCAGAAAGUUAUUAGAUCCCCAGUGGCAUGGUAACUAGUGGCAGCUAGUUCUAGAAAAGGAAUUUGUUCAGAAGUCGUGUGAGGCGGCUAUGUAGGGAGUCCUUUGGCUCCGCAAUCGGACUGGAAACCGGUAUUUUAGAUGAAUGACGAACCAAUUGAGACCAGGAAGGCCUAGAUAGAUUUCGGGAAGUAGCCAUGUGGCAACAUACUGCUUCAGGCAGUUCAUCAUUUCAAGCAGUUCAGUGUUUCGGGUAGUUUAGUGUUCAGACAAUUCAAUGUUUCGGGCAGUUCAGUGUUCAGGUUGUUCAGUGUUUUCAGGCAGAUCAAUGUUUCAGACAGUUUUGGGUCUCCAGUAGUAAUGGUAUUUGUGGGAUUUCAUGUAUGGUUAGAGUCACAGAUAUCUUGGGAUAUGCUAAGUCACUUACAGCAGGAUGAUCCGAGUUUUGGCCAGGUAUAAGUGAAUCACAGGGAUAAGUGGAUUUGUGAUUCUGUUUUCUAGGGUGAGCCCCGAGUUGUCAGAAGUUAAGUAAGCAGUUAAGAGAUAAGUGGACUGUAUACAGAGAUAAUGAUUCAGUAUGAGUGGUCUGUCAAGGAUUGAGACCAUCUCGAGACAACAAAUUUUUGAUAGAGUAGAUGUUAUCUUGUUGCGAAGAAUUAGUUCACCCGAGGCUUUUAGGGCUUUGCGAAGAUUGGUCACGACUACCCUGGGAAGGCUAGGGUGUUCCAGGAUGGUGAUCAUGUACUUGAGUAGUUAGCGUGUAAAGGAUGGUAAGGAAUGAUUUCGAGGAAGAAAUCUAAUUUAAGUGGUGGAGAGUUGUAACACCCCGUUUAUUUAAAUAAAUUAACAAAUGUAAGUCUCGGACUAGUUUGUGAAGAAUUUUGAAAGUCGAGGGUUGAAAGUGUAUGUUCAGGACUUCAAUUGAAAAGAUUUGAAGGCUUAAGGGUUUAUUGGUGAUUUAGGGAUCUUUUAUGAAAGAAAUUUAUGGGAUCAGGGUUUAAAAAGUAAGUUUUGGAUUCAGUUUGUAAAGAAUUCUGAGGGCAGGGUCUAUUUGGUAUGUUUUGGAUUUAGUUUGAAGACAAAUUAGGAUGGAGGGGCAGAAGUUGAAUAAAUUGAUCAAAGUUUCAUGAGGACACGGGAUAUACCCGGUGAUCCCUUCCCCAUCGUUGGAAAAACACAAACCCUAAAUGGAAGGGAGCACCUACAGCCGCCACCUCCUUCCUCUUCUCCUCCCAGCUGCCAUCACCAAAGAACCACCGGAGCAGCCACCUAGUUCCACCUCCGGCAAGACAAAGAGACUCAAGGGAUUAGGAACUCGUUCGGGGGUAGGUUGUUAUUUGCGUUUGGGUGGCUGCCUCAGCCCACGUCCGUCGCUAUGGCGCUGAGGAGCAGCGGAGUUGCCGUUUAGUACCGCCACCUCCAUCGUUUCCCCGUGGCGUCGACUGUUGCGUUUCCAUCAAUAGAAGCCGAGCAAAGGACCCUUUUCUGUCACCGUUCGAUGCUACCGCUGUUGCGCCGCUACCGUCGAUGGCGGACUCUCAUCGUCACUUGCUGCUGAUAGUCGCUGAUGCUGCCGUUCUAGUGGCCGUCAUGUUCCAGCCACGACUUGUCGUCGUCGCCU
Molecule: long non-coding RNA, 7618 nt
Filed under: Lactuca sativa (garden lettuce)
Lineage: Eukaryota; Viridiplantae; Streptophyta; Magnoliopsida; Asterales; Asteraceae
Description: long non-coding RNA (LSAT_LNC009525)
Source: RNAcentral